CGCGGGGUGGAGCAGUCUGGUAGCUCGUCGGGCUCAUAACCCGGAGGUCUCAGGUUCGAAUCCUGACCCCGCUACCA
Molecule: transfer RNA, 77 nt
Filed under: Desulfobacterales bacterium
Lineage: Bacteria; Pseudomonadati; Thermodesulfobacteriota; Desulfobacteria; Desulfobacterales
Also listed under: 2 other names
Description: tRNA-Met
Rfam family: tRNA
About the family: Transfer RNA (tRNA) molecules are approximately 80 nucleotides in length. Their secondary structure includes four short double-helical elements and three loops (D, anti-codon, and T loops).
Source: RNAcentral